GCGAAUGCAGCCUGACGACUCCGUUCGGGUUCAGGGAGGUUGUUUCGGCUUCUGGAGUAUGCCUGUCGACUUGCAAGAGGGACUCGCAUACGUCUGGUGCCAAUCCUUCUGCAUUCCCGUCUUGGAGUCGACCAACGAAGGCGGCUGUUGUCUAGAGGUAAGGCUGGAGGGUAGGUGCCUCAUGCGGCCCCCGGGGUCGUCGGAGAACUUAUUACAGCCUCUGGUCGUUUUUGGGUGGCGGUCGCCGAGGGGAAGUGCGACUUUCGCACAAGUCAGUGCAGGCUCCGCCGGGGCCGGGUCGCUUCUGCCGGUGCGGGUGGUGCAGCGAGGGACUGCACGCAGUGUCCGCUGACUCCUUUCCCGUUCGGGCGGGAGGUGGGCCAGCGACGUGCACUGUAGUC
This 401-nucleotide ribosomal RNA is filed under the name Axinella sp. GW26999. RNAcentral describes it as "partial 28S large subunit ribosomal RNA". Lineage: Eukaryota; Metazoa; Porifera; Demospongiae; Axinellida; Axinellidae. The record is from RNAcentral.